GAAGAGCCGCUGAAUGGGGAGGAGAGAGUGACAGAGAGCCUGCUUCUUUAAAGGAGCAAAGCGGGAGAGGAGAGGAGCUGCUUACACGAGUGUAAGAGGCUCCUGUCCAUUUGGCUCCUUUAAAGCAAGCAGGCUCUCUGUAUCUCUCUCCUCCCCACUCAGCGGCUCUUCUC
RNAcentral lists this microRNA precursor (173 nucleotides) under Podarcis lilfordi (Lilford's wall lizard). Lineage: Eukaryota; Metazoa; Chordata; Lepidosauria; Squamata; Lacertidae. The record is from RNAcentral.